UUUAAAUUCUGUUUUCUUAGAAAAGAUCUGCAGUUGACCAAGACAGGCUCCAAAAAGAAAAGCAAAAUUUAUCAAGAGCUUUCAGCUUAUAUGGAAUGAACCUAAAAUACAUUGAAAGAUUCUUCUGAGUGGGUGUUGUGGAGAAAACACUGGAAAUCACAGAAAGAAAAUGAAAUGAUUGGGAUAUCUCCUGGUAUCAGAAAUCUGAUGAGUGUCUGGAACCUGCUCUUCCAAAGCCCAUAACCUACAGCAGCUGCAAGUUUCUCUGAGUCAGGUGCUCUCCACAUCCCUGAGCCACCUUCAGCAAGAAACGCUUUAUUUUAGCUCUUCGUUGAAAAUUCUAUCUAAACACUUUCGCUUUAAGAUGUAUUUUUUUGGUAAAAUAUUUCCUGGAAGAGAAAUUUGGAAUACAAGCACAUAUGGCCUGCUUAGGAUCUGAUUUCAGCGUUGCUCAGAGCAAGAAGAGAGGCAGAGCAGGAUGAGAGAAAUUU
Molecule: long non-coding RNA, 491 nt
Filed under: Parus major (Great Tit)
Lineage: Eukaryota; Metazoa; Chordata; Aves; Passeriformes; Paridae
Description: lncRNA (ENSPMJG00000019991.1)
Source: RNAcentral